UUUUCUCUUUAAGUCUGAAGAACGGGCCUUUUCUCUCCAAGUCUCAAGAAAAUGCCUCAUCCCUAACAUUUUACCUAAAUCAAUUUUGGCAAUAGGUUGGAAAAACAAGAUUGUACAUUUUUCUCCAGUACUUCAGCGAGGAAAAAUUUGACAUUUUCUAUGUCAACACUACGAGGAGGUUGAGUUUUGAAGCUGUUACGUUUCUGCUUCAAUUUAAUUCAACCAAAAUCUUUUCCGUCACCAACAACUUUUCAGGUUUCUAUUUAUCAUCGAAUAAGAAAGAUUGAAGAUAUCACACCCUCCACUUGAUUAUGGUAGCUCAGAAGUUCAUCGUACUAUUGUUGGGAGCAAAAGUACCUCUGGAGUGACGAAUUCUUAAAAGAAAUAGAUUGGAGUUAAUCUUUUAUGUGCAAAGAGCUAUUGUGUAUAUAUUAUUUAGAUUUCAUGGUAAGGUUUGCAUAAAUUCUACCCUACUUGGACUUUACUUGUGGGAUUUCACUAAGUAUGUCGUAGGUUUAUUUAGAUCUCGUGAAACAAUUGAAUUUAUAACAGUUUCCGUAUUGAAGGUACUA
Solanum lycopersicum (tomato) is the source of this 572-nucleotide long non-coding RNA. RefSeq lists it as uncharacterized. Lineage: Eukaryota; Viridiplantae; Streptophyta; Magnoliopsida; Solanales; Solanaceae. The record is from RefSeq and is a predicted model, not a curated record.